This 73-nucleotide transfer RNA is filed under the name Odocoileus virginianus texanus. It matches the Rfam family "tRNA". From Rfam's summary of the family: Transfer RNA (tRNA) molecules are approximately 80 nucleotides in length. Their secondary structure includes four short double-helical elements and three loops (D, anti-codon, and T loops). RNAcentral also lists the same sequence under 4 other names. The record is from Rfam by way of RNAcentral. Lineage: Eukaryota; Metazoa; Chordata; Mammalia; Artiodactyla; Cervidae.
UCCCUGAUGGUCCAGUGGUUAAGACUCCUCACUCCCAAUGCAGGAGGCCAGGGUUCAAUCCCUGGUCAGAGAA